This 443-nucleotide ribosomal RNA is filed under the name uncultured bacterium. RNAcentral describes it as "partial 16S ribosomal RNA". It matches the Rfam family "Bacterial small subunit ribosomal RNA", at positions 338 to 795 of the family's 1533-position model. The record is from RNAcentral.
CCUACGGGUGGCUGCAGUGGGGAAUAUUGGGCAAUGGGCGCAAGCCUGACCCAGCAACGCCGCGUGAAGGAAGAAGGCUUUCGGGUUGUAAACCUCUAUUGUCAGGGAAGAAGAAAGUGACGGUACCGGACGAAUAAGCGACGGCUCACGACGGGCCAGCAGCGGCGGUAAGACGUCGGUGGCAAGCGUUAUCCGGAUUUACGGGGUGUAACGGGCGUGUAGGCGGGGAAGCAAGGCAGAGGUGAAAACCCCGGGCUCAACCUGUGGCCUGCCUUUGAAACUGUUUUUCUUGAGUGCUGGGGCGGCAAUCGGAAUUCCGUGUGUAGCGGUGAAAUGCGUAGAUAUCCGGAGGAACACCAGUGGCGAAGGCGGCUUGCUGGACUGUACCUGACGCUGAGGCUCGAAAGCGUGGGGAGCAAACAGGAUUAGAUACCCUUGUAGUC